Molecule: signal recognition particle RNA, 270 nt
Filed under: Armatimonadota bacterium
Lineage: Bacteria; Bacillati; Armatimonadota
Description: Armatimonadetes bacterium (sediment metagenome) signal recognition particle sRNA large type
Rfam family: Bacterial large signal recognition particle RNA
About the family: The signal recognition particle (SRP) is a universally conserved ribonucleoprotein involved in the co-translational targeting of proteins to membranes. Archaeal SRP consists of a 7S RNA and homologues of the eukaryotic SRP19 and SRP54 proteins. In most bacteria, the SRP consists of a 4.5S RNA and the Ffh protein (a homologue of the eukaryotic SRP54 protein).
Source: RNAcentral
UCGUGCUAGGCGGGGAACUAGCGGUGCCCUGUAACCCGAAAACCGCUUUAUGCGGGGCGGAAUCCCCGUGCUGAGGUCCGCUUUCUGCUGCAAGCGGCCGCGUCGGCCGACGUUGAAGGCCGGGCCCGGUGCAACGUGCUGCCUGUGAACCCCGUCAGGUCCGGGAGGAAGCAGCGGUAAGCAGGUCAGGCGUGUGCCGCCGGCGCGCCCCGGCCUGAGCCUGGCCGCGUGGAAGGCUACUGCGGGAACGGAUCGAGGCCGGGUGCACGA